AUGAAAGAGGACAAAGUAUGGACCAUAGUGUCUCACGAUUUCCAGAUUAAGACGACAGUGGUGGGCUGCAACCCAAGAAAAUACUCAGCUCGUUUCCAGCACCUCCAAAUGAGCAGUAUGCCGCCGUUUGCAAGAUGUCCAGGCUGCUGAGCAUCCCAGGUGUGGACGUCCUUGCGCCCUGACUUUCUAGAUGCUGGUCUCUUCAAAGGGUUUUCCGUCACAAGCUCCGUGGCAGCACGUCAUAGCCCCGGGAGCGCUCUGACAUCCCGAAGUAGCUCUGGGCAAACUGAAGCCUUGGUAAGUGUGGCAGCAGUGUGGGCCUGAACUUGUCCCACGUGCUUUGGCAACUCUGAAACCUCCUUCAGUGGAAAGAGGGGGAAAGGUGAGUGAAGCCAGCCUCUGACCGUCUGGCCUGCCCCGAAGUCCCAAGAUGGCCAGAGGCUGAGGAAGGACAGUCAGGAGGGGUGCUGCUGGACUCCCGGGCCUUCUGUACCUUGCAGGUGGUCAGCGCAGCACAGGGUCAGGUACCCCAGGAGCAGCGUCUGGGGCGGAGCUCCCCAGGGGCAGCUGGCUCUGGGAGCGCAGUGAUGUCCCC
Molecule: long non-coding RNA, 595 nt
Filed under: Cervus hanglu yarkandensis (Yarkand deer)
Lineage: Eukaryota; Metazoa; Chordata; Mammalia; Artiodactyla; Cervidae
Description: lncRNA (ENSCHYG00000020687.1)
Source: RNAcentral